UGGGGAAUAUUGCGCAAUGGGGGAAACCCUGACGCAGCGACGCCGCGUGCGGGAUGAAGGCCUUCGGGUUGUAAACCGCUUUUGAUUGGGAGCAAGCUUUCGGGUGAGUGUACCUUUCGAAUAAGCGCCGGCUAACUACGUGCCAGCAGCCGCGGUAAUACGUAGGGCGCAAGCGUUAUCCGGAAUUAUUGGGCGUAAAGCGAGCGCAGGCGGUCAAUUAAGUCUGAUGUGAAAGCCCCCGGCUCAACCGGGGAGGGUCAUUGGAAACUGGUUGACUUGAGUGCAGAAGAGGAGAUGGGAAUUCCAUGUGUAGCGGUGAAAUGCGAAGAUAUAUGGAGGAACACCAGUGGCGAAGGCGACUCUCUGGUCUGUAACUGACGCUGAGGUUCGAAAGCGUGGGUAGCAAACAGG
This 411-nucleotide ribosomal RNA is filed under the name Bacteroidota bacterium. Its description in RNAcentral is "Bacteroidetes bacterium partial 16S ribosomal RNA". It matches the Rfam family "Bacterial small subunit ribosomal RNA", at positions 355 to 776 of the family's 1533-position model. Lineage: Bacteria; Pseudomonadati; Bacteroidota. The record is from RNAcentral.